GAAAGAUUUAUCGCCAAAGGAUCGGCCCGCGUUGGAUUAGGUAGUUGGUGGGGUAAUGGCCUACCAAGCCGACGAUCCAUAGCUGGUUUGAGAGGAUGAUCAGCCACACUGGGACUGAGACACGGCCCAGACUCCUACGGGAGGCAGCAGUGGGGAAUCUUAGACAAUGGGGGCAACCCUGAUCUAGCCAUGCCGCGUGAUCGAUGAAGGCCUUAGGGUUGUAAAGAUCUUUCAGUGGGGAAGAUAAUGAC
RNAcentral lists this ribosomal RNA (251 nucleotides) under uncultured bacterium. Its description in RNAcentral is "partial 16S ribosomal RNA". It matches the Rfam family "Bacterial small subunit ribosomal RNA", at positions 202 to 455 of the family's 1533-position model. The record is from RNAcentral.